UACGUAGGGUGCAAGCGUUAAUCGGAAUUACUGGGCGUAAAGCGUGCGCAGGCGGUUGUGCAAGACCGAUGUGAAAUCCCCCGGGCUUAACCUGGAAAUGGCAUUGGUGACUGCACGGCUAGAGUGUGUCAGAGGGGGGGUAGAAUUCCACGUGUAGCAGUGAAAUGCGUAGAGAUGUGGAGGAAUACCGAUGGCGAAGGCAGCCCCCUGGGAUAACACUGACGCUCAUGCACGAAAAGCGUGGGGGAGCAAAACAGGG
RNAcentral lists this ribosomal RNA (259 nucleotides) under uncultured bacterium. RNAcentral's name for it is "partial 16S ribosomal RNA". It matches the Rfam family "Bacterial small subunit ribosomal RNA", at positions 524 to 777 of the family's 1533-position model. The record is from RNAcentral.